Molecule: ribosomal RNA, 69 nt
Filed under: Clostridioides difficile
Lineage: Bacteria; Bacillati; Bacillota; Clostridia; Peptostreptococcales; Peptostreptococcaceae
Description: partial 16S ribosomal RNA
Rfam family: Bacterial small subunit ribosomal RNA
Source: RNAcentral
UUUUAUUUGAGAGUUUGAUCCUGGCUCAGGAUGAACGCUGGCGGCGGGCCUAACACAUGCAAGUUGAGC